RNAcentral lists this microRNA precursor (85 nucleotides) under Leptotrombidium deliense. Its description in RNAcentral is "mir-7 microRNA precursor". Lineage: Eukaryota; Metazoa; Arthropoda; Arachnida; Trombidiformes; Trombiculidae. The record is from RNAcentral.
AAUCAUUCGCCAUUUGGAAGACUAGUGAUUUGUUGUUCUUGAAUUUGAGUAACAAAAAAUCACUAUUUUCCGCUGGCGUUUGUAA